GGUGCCAUUUUAUUUCAGCUUGUGACAGGAAAAACCCCAUUUACUGGAAACAAUCAAAUAGAGUUGCUGCAAAACAUUAUGAAGUCAACUGAAUUGCAAUUUCCUUCAGAUAUUAAGGAUUUGAGUGCUGACUGCAAAGAUUUGUGCCAGAAAUUGUUGCGUCGUAAUCCAGUCGAACGGUUAACAUUUGAGGAGUUUUUUAAUCACCCAUUCCUUUCUCAGAGGAAAAUAGAUCAAUCUUUGGGGAAUAGGACAUUUUUAAGAUCAGUUGACAGUGUUCCAUUGUCUGAAAGCAUUUCUGCAAGGAAUACAGAGAACAUUUCUCCGGAGGACUAUCUGCCUUUCUUCCUGGAUGAUGAUUCGAGCGGUCCUGAGGGUAGCCCUUCCUUUUCUAAGAGGAAGC
This 403-nucleotide unclassified non-coding RNA is filed under the name Hevea brasiliensis (rubber tree). The record is from RNAcentral. Lineage: Eukaryota; Viridiplantae; Streptophyta; Magnoliopsida; Malpighiales; Euphorbiaceae.